This 433-nucleotide ribosomal RNA is filed under the name uncultured bacterium. Its description in RNAcentral is "partial 16S ribosomal RNA". It matches the Rfam family "Bacterial small subunit ribosomal RNA", at positions 29 to 507 of the family's 1533-position model. The record is from RNAcentral.
AGCGAACGCUGGCGGCAGGCUUAACACAUGCAAGUCGAGCGGGCCCUUCGGGGUCAGCGGCAGACGGGUGAGUAACGCGUGGGAACGUGCCCUUCGGUUCGGAAUAACUCAGGGAAACUUGAGCUAAUACCGGAUACGCCCUUAUGGGGAAUGGUUUACUGCCGAAGGAUCGGCCCGCGUCUGAUUAGCUAGUUGGUGAGGUUAUGGCUCACCAAGGCGACGAUCAGUAGCUGGUCUGAGAGGAUGAUCAGCCACACUGGGACUGAGACACGGCCCAGACUCCUACGGUAGGCAGCAGUGGGGAAUAUUGGACAAUGGGGGCAACCCUGAUCCAGCCAUGCCGCGUGAGUGAUGACGGCCUUAGGGUUGUAAAGCUCUUUUCUCCGGGACGAUAAUGACGGUACCGGAGGAAUAAGCCCCGGCUAACUUCGUG